AGCUGGAAGGGGGGUUACUUGCUGGGCUUGCUAUACAUUUCGUCACAUCAGCAAGUUUAACCUGUUACGUAGCUAUAUAAGGCAGACGCCCACUGAGGUGUGGGUGCUUGCUUUGCGAAUGAUUGCCAAGCACCACUUUCUGCGCAGAAAUAAAGAUUAAGUUGGAUCCUUCACCCCUGUGUGUUUAUUGGCACAAGCGCACCGGGCACGAACUCACCAUUGUUUGGGGACAACAAUUUCUGGCGACCCAGAUGGGACCCUAGCUGACUGCCUUGCCCGGUCCACCUCUUCGGCUCCGGCAACAACUGUGGACGGCGCGAGGGCCAGGCACCACCGACCUUAUUCAUCGGAGGUCUGACCGUCUCCUGGUUGCCUGACGGAGUUGUGGAGGGGCACAACGGCGCAACGCUCGAAGGACCAACUUAAUCAGGUGGGCCGAGGGAGGUUUCAAUGGACUGGUAUGUCCAGGAAUGACUUCCACUCCCUCUAGAUACACCAGUCCACAAGUUCCAGAUCGGAGACAAGGUACUGGUCCGGAUGUGGAAAGACGAGCCGCUUCAGCCCAGGUGGAAGGGACCGUAUCCUGUGAUUCUUACUACUCAUGCUGCAAUGAAGGUUCAGGGGGUAAAACCGUGAAUACACUACAUUCGGGUGAAGGCCGCACCAGAAGUACCACCUGCAGGAGAAGUUGCUGAGAGUGUCGCACUGGAAGCCGACACAAACGGACACCGUUGGACAGCAGAGCCAGUAAAAGGACUCAAAUUUCUGUUUAAACGUCAACCAUGUGAAAAAUAGUUCUUUGCGUAGGUAUAAUGUUUCUAGAGUCUAAGGGGUUGGUGCAUCAAAAGUUCGAUAAGAGUCAAAAUGUGUGGGUUCAUUUGGCAAAGGACGUAUUAAAUGUCACUUAUCUUUGUUUGGCAGGUGAAAUAUCGGUUAAUGAUAUUUUCACGUCAUGCCUUAUAGGGGUGCCCACUCCAAUGGAAGCACUCCGGAAUCAGACUUGGUUCGCAUCUGGGGGAAUAGGAGGUCCAAUCAAUUACACUAACAACUCCAUGUGGGGAACCAUUACCACAGAAAAAACAAAAAUUUUCAAUUGCUCAGACAUGACUAAUGUAUCUUACAACUACGGUCAUGUUAUAUUACCCCGGGGGCGGUUCCUCCUUUGUGGGAAGACUGCCUAUUCAUAUAUCCCAGCCAAUGCCACAGGAGGCCCUUGUGCUCUGGGCCGGUUGACUGUCUGGCUACCAGGUAUGCCUAAGACCUCUAGUAAGCGUCACCGGAGAGGUUCAAAGGUGCUAGAUAAAUCCUGUGAUAGUGACAUAAACCUCCUGAGUGAGGCCGAGGUAGUGUCCUUAGCAGUUUUCCUAGUAAGGGUGCCAGGCCUAGUAGUGGAUGCUGAGAGGCAGCUUGGUAAGGUGGCCUGUGCCCUGGCAAAGGGCCUACAUACAACUUCACAGGCCCUAGCUGCCCUCAAUAUUGAAAUAAAAGAACUAAGAGGAGCUACUCUGCAAAAUAGAGCAGCCAUAGAUUACCUGUUGCUGAGGCAUAACCACGGAUGUGAAGAGUUCGAGGAAAUGUGUUGUUUUAAUUUGACAGAUAACUCCGAGUUAAUAGAGUCAAAAGUGCAGAAGAUAAAAAAAGGUUCUGUCCCACAUUAAGCAAGGGGAAGGGUUCGACUUCUCAUAGCUUACUUCUUGGCUCCCUAAUCUUUCAUGGCUUAAGCAAAUUUUCCUAUUAAUUGUGGCAAGUAUGGGUAUUUUCUUGAUGAUCUGUUGUGGGAUACAGUGUGCGCCAAAGUGUUGUGAGAUACUCAAGAAAUCAAUUUCUUCCCCCAUUCACCGUGUGAUGUUUAUAAAAUCAUCAGUUACAAACCCGAUCCAAAACAAUCGGGAGAAAGCAAAAAGAUUUCUGGAGAUGAAAAAGAUAGUCGAGAACUAUGGGCCUUUUCCAUAAGGGCCAUAGUCUCGAAGUGGGGAUAUGAUGGGUACCCCUGAACUUUCACUAUGCAUUUUCUACUUCGGAAACAGCUUUGUAUGUUUGAAAAGUAUUUUAUCUAACCAAGGGCAUAGAGUAGGUUGUUUAGGCUGGGGGAGAUCGCUUGUUGCUUAGUUGCUUAAUUGCUGGCCUCGCUAGAAGGAAAGCUGUAUCAACAAAGUCCGGAGCUGGAAGGGGGGUUACUUGGGGGGGAGCUGGAAGGGGGGUUACUUGCUGGGCUUGCUAUACGUUUCGUCACAUCAGCAAGUUUAACCUGUUACGUAGCUAUAUAAGGCAGACGCCCACUGAGGUGUGGGUGCUUGCUUUGCAAACGAUUGCCAAGCACCACUUUCUGCGCAGAAAUAAAGAUUAAGUUGGAUCCUUCA
Alligator mississippiensis (American alligator) is the source of this 2360-nucleotide long non-coding RNA. RefSeq lists it as uncharacterized. Lineage: Eukaryota; Metazoa; Chordata; Crocodylia; Alligatoridae. The transcript has 2 exons. The record is from RefSeq and is a predicted model, not a curated record.